Nicotiana attenuata is the source of this 779-nucleotide long non-coding RNA. RefSeq lists it as uncharacterized. The transcript is spliced from 2 exons. NCBI's taxonomy places the organism in Eukaryota, Viridiplantae, Streptophyta, Magnoliopsida, Solanales, Solanaceae. The record is from RefSeq and is a predicted model, not a curated record.
UUUUAUUCCUUCACACUAAUUUCAUAACAGAUUUAUUCCCCCACAGCCCACUCAUUUUUUUUGGGAGAUUUCUUGGGGAGCACACUCAAAAUACCUAUAUAAACAUCUACUACACACACACAAAAGGGCGGAUAAUAACAAACGGGGCUGGUAGAUCAAAAACAAAAACAGAGCACCACAAAGGGGGAACGAAAAAACAAAGAAAAUGUCCUUUGCUCCUCCAUUUUAGAGCCUUCUUCCUCCAUGAAAACACCAAUAUCCACCUCCAAAGCUGCUGCAAAAAAUACAGCAACUCUCCUCCUCAAACCAGCCCAACCAGACGCGGCAAAAACGAGCCGAAAAUCCAGCGAAACAGUCUCUUUCGCACAGAACACUGCAAUCCCAAGGUUGAGUCGUCGAGGUUGUCCGUUCGAGUUCGUCGGCGAAUUUGAGCUUCUCCGGCGAAGUUGCCGUUUGAGGUUUCCGGUAACUGGUUUUGUUUGUUGUCGCCGGUCCGGGACAUGCUUUUGAUUUCGGUGCAGGACCUUGUGAGUAGAUUUGAAGUUGCUGCCUUCAGUCCAGGGAGACCCAAGGUAGAUCUGCCAGCGUCCGCAGAGCCUGGAGUCCCCCUUUCCGCCAUUUUUGUCUUUCCUGUCUCUUUCUAUUUUGAGAACAUAUGUACUUCUUUCAAACUUAUAUUUGUAGAAAUUCUUAGAUGUUCGUGAAUUGUGAAACCAGAUCACUGGGGUAGUUAUGUACUAGAGUUGUUGAACUGUUAUAUCACUUCCGCAUUUCAUAUU